This 73-nucleotide transfer RNA is filed under the name Eubacteriales bacterium. RNAcentral's name for it is "tRNA-Leu". It matches the Rfam family "tRNA". Rfam says of the family: Transfer RNA (tRNA) molecules are approximately 80 nucleotides in length. Their secondary structure includes four short double-helical elements and three loops (D, anti-codon, and T loops). The record is from RNAcentral. Lineage: Bacteria; Bacillati; Bacillota; Clostridia; Eubacteriales.
GCGGGAGUGGCGGAACGGCAGACGUACCUGUCUCAGUAACAGGUUUUUGAGGGUUCGAAUCCCUCCUCCCGUA